GAUGAAGAACGUAGCGAAAUGCGAUAAUUAAUGUGAAUUGCAGAAUUCCGUGAAUCAUCGAGUCUUUGAACGCACAUUGCGCCUCAUGGCAUUCCGUGAGGCAUGCCCAUCUCAGCGUUAGAAAAUAUUCUCAAAUUUUAGUUUUGUGCUAAAAUUUGGAUCAUGUCAAGGAAGCUAUUACUAUUAUUGUGAUCGCUCUUUGGGAAUUGAUAGGUCUUUGAGUUGCUACUCAUAGAACGUGAUGAAUCUUUCUUCGUUCUAUUGUAAUUCACUCUGGUAGUCCUAAAACUUGUAUGCCUGUAGCAUAUCUUGUAAUUUGACCUGAGAUUGGGUAGGGAUACCCGCUGAACUUAAGCAUAUCAAUAAGCGGAGGA
RNAcentral lists this unclassified non-coding RNA (374 nucleotides) under soil metagenome. RNAcentral describes it as "partial contains internal transcribed spacer 2 and large subunit ribosomal RNA". The stretch from base 1 to 120 matches the Rfam family "5.8S ribosomal RNA", at positions 35 to 154 of the family's 154-position model. The record is from RNAcentral.